UAAGACGUUGAUAGGCUGGGUGUGUAAGCGUAGCGAUACGUUGAGCUAACCAGUACUAAUGAACCGUGAGGCUUAACCUGACAACACCGAAGGUGUUU
RNAcentral lists this ribosomal RNA (98 nucleotides) under Shigella sp. FC1967. RNAcentral describes it as "partial 23S ribosomal RNA". The stretch from base 1 to 80 matches the Rfam family "Bacterial large subunit ribosomal RNA", at positions 2846 to 2925 of the family's 2925-position model. The record is from RNAcentral. Lineage: Bacteria; Pseudomonadati; Pseudomonadota; Gammaproteobacteria; Enterobacterales; Enterobacteriaceae.